AACGUAGGAGACGAGCGUUAUCCGGAAUUACUGGGCGUAAAGCGCGAGUAGGCGGAAGUGCAAGUCUUUUGUGAAAGCUCCUGGCUAAACUGGGAGAGGUCGAAAGAUACUGCACAUCUGGAGUAUGGAAGAGGGGUGCGGAAUUCCGGGUGUAGUGGUGAAAUGCGUAGAUAUCCGGAGGAACACCAGUGGCGAAGGCGGCACCCUGGUCCAAGACUGACGCUAAGACGCGAAAGCAUGGGGAGCGAAC
This 250-nucleotide ribosomal RNA is filed under the name uncultured bacterium. RNAcentral's name for it is "partial 16S ribosomal RNA". It matches the Rfam family "Bacterial small subunit ribosomal RNA", at positions 524 to 773 of the family's 1533-position model. The record is from RNAcentral.